Molecule: ribosomal RNA, 967 nt
Filed under: Batkoa obscura
Lineage: Eukaryota; Fungi; Entomophthoromycota; Entomophthoromycetes; Entomophthorales; Batkoaceae
Description: eukaryotic LSU rRNA
Rfam family: Eukaryotic large subunit ribosomal RNA
Source: RNAcentral
CGAGUGAAGCUGGAAUAGUCCGAACUUUAAAAGAGUUAGAUCUCUGAUGUAGUUCUAAGAUCUAUUGGUACCGGGCUGCCUACCAUCUAAGUUGACACGGACUUGUCCGACAGAGAGGGUGAAAUUCCCGUCUAGAUGUGUUAGAAAGUUCUCAUACUGAUUGAUCUGAGAGUCGAGUUGCUUGGGAUUGCAGCUUUAAGGUGGAGGUAAAUUCCUUCAAAGACUAAAUACCGUUGGAUGACGAUAGCGAACAAGUACCGUGAGGGAAAGUUGAAAAGAACUCCGGAAGGAGGAUCAAAAGAGCGUGAAAUUGUACAGAGGGAAACGCUUGGACGCUCCGUAUACCCAGUUGUUAGUCUCUCAAGUUUUUUACUGGGAUCAAGAUUACAUCUGGAGUAGCCAAUCGCUAUUAGAUUUAAUGCGUGUUGUGAGUUGGAUCUAUCAUGGUUUAAUGAGUUUAUUGUUUGCGCAAGCUUCUUUACACCGCCAUGGGCAGUUAGUUCCCACGUAUAAGUCGGCAGUAAAGUUUUGUUAUAAGUCUUUAGGAGGUCGAAAGUUGUAAGCUGCGGUACGAUUUUGUAAAUUUUUGUAUUUAGCUACCUUCUAAUGAAGACCUGAGUCUCCGAUAAAGCAUCUUAACUAUAAUAUGGCUGAGCAGCGGUCAAGCGACCCGUCUUGAAACACGGACCAAGGAGUCUAACAUGUUAGCAAGUCUUAGGGCCUAGUAACCCCUCUGGCGAAAUGAAAGUGAUUAGAGAUCCGAUUCCGACUCGAUUGGAAGCAGGAUUAGCCAAACUCAUAAACAAUAGUUGUUGAGUUUGCGCAAGAGCAAAUAUGUUGGGACCCGAAAGAUGGUGAACUAUGCCUGAAUAGGGUGAAGUCAGGGGAAACCCUGAUGGAAGCUCGUAGCGAUUCUGACGUGCAAAUCGAUCGUCAAAUUUGGGUAUAGGGGCGAAAGACUAAUCGA